Coregonus clupeaformis (lake whitefish) is the source of this 407-nucleotide long non-coding RNA. RefSeq lists it as uncharacterized. The record is from RefSeq and is a predicted model, not a curated record. Lineage: Eukaryota; Metazoa; Chordata; Actinopteri; Salmoniformes; Salmonidae. The transcript has 5 exons.
GAUGUCUAUCAGUGAAACAAAAGCCCUGUUUUUAAUGGAGAAGUGAUGGAAGUGGCACACUCUGCAUCAGAGACAUUCACAGACAGUCAAAGGAAGAAGACCCCUCUUCCCCUGUGCCAACUGGUGGAGGACACAAAAAUAAGUCCCUCUAAUGUCCCUCAUCACCUACUAGAGACCCAAACCUAUACCAAACUCAAGAGCAACAGUGCAAUCCAUGCAGAACCCUCAGCACUUCACUUCAGUGGGUUUAAACUGGGGAAGGAUUAUCAGAGGACCUUGAAACUUAUCAACAUAUCAUCUGAAGUGAUCAACAUUCACAUUAUCCCCACCCAAACAAAGCACUUCCAAACGAAAUAUUUAAAAAAGCAUCGUCUUGUCCCCGGACUGUCCUACACAGUGAAAGUACA